RNAcentral lists this ribosomal RNA (447 nucleotides) under uncultured bacterium. RNAcentral's name for it is "bacterial SSU rRNA". It matches the Rfam family "Bacterial small subunit ribosomal RNA", at positions 355 to 825 of the family's 1533-position model. The record is from RNAcentral.
UGGGGAAUAUUGGACAAUGGGCGAAAGCCUGAUCCAGCAAUGCCGCGUGAGUGAUGAAGGCCUUAGGGUUGUAAAGCUCUUUUACCAGGGAUGAUAAUGACAGUACCUGGAGAAUAAGCUCCGGCUAACUCCGUGCCAGCAGCCGCGGUAAUACGGAGGGAGCUAGCGUUGUUCGGAAUUACUGGGCGUAAAGCGUACGUAGGCGGUUAUUCAAGUCAGAGGUGAAAGCCUGGAGCUCAACUCCAGAACUGCCUUUGAAACUAGAUAGCUAGAAUCACGGAGAGGUGAGUGGAAUUCCGAGUGUAGAGGUGAAAUUCGUAGAUAUUCGGAAGAACACCAGUGGCGAAGGCGGCUCACUGGACGUGUAUUGACGCUGAGGUACGAAAGCGUGGGGAGCAAACAGGAUUAGAUACCCGAGUAGUCCCUGAGCGGGCUGGCAAGGCGCAU